This 301-nucleotide ribosomal RNA is filed under the name uncultured bacterium. RNAcentral describes it as "partial 16S ribosomal RNA". It matches the Rfam family "Bacterial small subunit ribosomal RNA", at positions 509 to 807 of the family's 1533-position model. The record is from RNAcentral.
CAGUAGCCACGGGAAUACGUAGGGUGCAAGCGUUAAUCGGAAUUACUGGGCGUAAAGCGUGCGCAGGCGGUUCGUUAAGACAGAUGUGAAAUCCCCGGGCUCAACCUGGGACCUGCAUUUGUGACUGGCGAGCUAGAGUAUGGCAGAGGGGGGUAGAAUUCCACGUGUAGCAGUGAAAUGCGUAGAGAUGUGGAGGAAUACCGAUGGCGAAGGCAGCCCCCUGGGCCAAUACUGACGCUCAUGCACGAAAGCGUGGGGAGCAAACAGGAUUAGAGACCCCCGUAGUCCCUGUCUCUUAUAC